This 253-nucleotide ribosomal RNA is filed under the name uncultured bacterium. RNAcentral describes it as "partial 16S ribosomal RNA". It matches the Rfam family "Bacterial small subunit ribosomal RNA", at positions 524 to 776 of the family's 1533-position model. The record is from RNAcentral.
UACGUAGGGUGCAAGCGUUAUCCGGAAUUACUGGGCGUAAAGCGUCCGCAGGUGGAUUUUUAAGUCAGAUAUUAAAUCAACAGGCUCAACUUGUUGGCCGUAUCUGAUACUGGAAGUCUUGAGGGCAGAAGAGGUAAACGGAAUUCCCGGUGGAGCGGUUAAAUGCUUAGAUAUCGGGAAGAACACCAAUGGCGAAGGCAGUUUACUGGGAUGCACCUGACACUAAGGGACGAAAGCGUGGGGAGCGAUCGGG